AUACGGAGGAUGCAAGCGUUAAUCGGAAUUACUGGGCGUAAAGCGUACGUAGGCGGUUAUUUAAGUCAGAUGUGAAAGCCCCGGGCUUAACUUGGGAACUGCAUUUGAAACUGGGUAACUAGAGUUUAGUAGAGGGGAGUGGAAUUUCAGGUGUAGCGGUGAAAUGCGUAGAGAGCUGAAGGAACACCAGUGGCGAAGGCGACUCCCUGGACUAAAACUGACGCUGAGGUACGAAAGCGUGGGUAGCAAACAGGAUUAGAAACCCCAGUAGUCC
RNAcentral lists this ribosomal RNA (274 nucleotides) under uncultured bacterium. RNAcentral describes it as "partial 16S ribosomal RNA". It matches the Rfam family "Bacterial small subunit ribosomal RNA", at positions 523 to 796 of the family's 1533-position model. The record is from RNAcentral.